CGUAAGGUUGCGAGGUUAUAAUGAGUUAUCUUAAUUUUUCGAUUAACAGUAAUAACACCUGAUUACAAGAAAGGAAGGGCGUCGCAGAGGAGGAAAAUUCAUCUUUUCCUGAUCAUUUUCAUGGUCUAGCUUUCUCUCUCAUUCUUGAUCAACUGACUCGCUCGACAGCAAGCUUGAAAUUCGAGGAACUCAGAUUAGAAGAUUAUUUACUUCAGGGGCGCGUACAAAGACCCGAAGCCACCAGGUUUGAAAGCAAGACAUAUCUUUGUUCGGAACACAACGAAGCUCUGAAAGUUUACUGUCACACAGAUAAAUGCCUCAUCUGCAUUUAUUGCCAGUUCUAUGGCAGUCAUGUGGGUCACGAAUGCGAGCUUGUCAGUGACAUUGCCACCACGAUACGUGGGGAUCUAAGCAGCGUAUCUAAAAAAUUGGGCGAUCACUGUGAAUUGAUCAAGAAGUCAAUAGGAAAAGUGAAUAACACGAAGGAUUCUGUAUUGGCUACUCAAAGUUAUCUGCAAGACAGGAUCGGAAAACACAUGACAUUGUUACAUGCUCACAUGAGUAUGGGAGAAACGUCGCUGAGGGAUGCUGUAAACGAUAAAACGAACCAGAAGAUAAUGUUUUUGAAUAAUCAA
Pocillopora verrucosa is the source of this 635-nucleotide non-coding RNA. The record is from RefSeq and is a predicted model, not a curated record. NCBI's taxonomy places the organism in Eukaryota, Metazoa, Cnidaria, Anthozoa, Scleractinia, Pocilloporidae.